This 1240-nucleotide small RNA is filed under the name Histoplasma ohiense. RNAcentral's name for it is "hypothetical lncRNA". The record is from RNAcentral. Lineage: Eukaryota; Fungi; Ascomycota; Eurotiomycetes; Onygenales; Ajellomycetaceae.
CCUCGUGGUGCAGCCUGGUAACAUCAUCUAGUGAUGAUGGCCAAGAGCAGAGCAGUUUGUUAUGAGUGUCUGAUUCUUAGUGAACUCAGCAUUCAUUGGCCUUCAGGCCUUGAUCUUUGCUCUCUGUGAGCAAUCACCCUGCCACUGCUCCCUGCGAGCAACCGUCCUGCUGCUGCUCGCUACGAGCAAUCGCCCUGCCGCUGCUCCCUGCGAGCAAUCGCCCUGCCGCUGCUCCCUGUGAGCAAUCACCCUGCCUCCGCCCUGCCUCUGCUCUCUGUGAGCAAUCACCCUGCCGCUGCUCACUACGAGCAAUCGCCCUGCCGCUGCUCCCUGCGAGCAAUCACCCUGCCGCUGCUCCCUGCGAGCAAUCGUUCUGCUGCUGCUCGCUACGAGCAAUCGCCCUGCCGCUGCUCCCUGCGAGCAAUUGCCCUGCCUCCGCCCUGCCUCCGCCCUGCCUCUGCUCUCUGUGAGAGCAAUCACUCUGCCGCUGCUCACUACGAGCAAUCGCCCUGCCGCUGCUCCCUGCGAGCAAUCGCCCUGCUGCUGCUCCCUGCGAGCAAUCGUCCUGCUGCUGCUCGCUACGAGCAAUCGCCCUGCCGCUGCUCCCUGUGAGCAAUCGCCCUGCCUCCGCCCUGCCUCCGCCCUGCCUCUGCUCUCUGUGAGAGCAAUCACUCUGCUGCUGCUCACUACGAGCAAUCGCCCUGCCGCUGCUCCCUGCGAGCAAUCGCCCUGCCGCUGCUCACUACGAGCAAUCGCCCUGCCGCUGCUCCCUGCGAGCAAUCACUCUGCUGCUGCUCACUACGAGCAAUCGCCCUGCCGCUGCUCCCUGCGAGCAAUCGCCCUGCCGUAGCACUUAUGUGCUUUGAUUAUCUCUACCAUGAAUGGCCAUAUGUUGGGUCAGAAGUGGAUGAACAGUCUAUAUAGACUGAGUCUUCUCAAGAGUUGCUAUCUGGAUUCUGUGUCUAUCAUUACUGUGUAUAUAGAGAUUUCUCCAGUGUAGCACAUCUCCAUGCCCUUCGGGAGGCUUCUGAAACACAGGCGCUGCCCGUGUUUUCUCUGGGAUGUUAAACCAAUACAUACAUACAUACACAUACAGUUUGCAAACUUGAUCAUAAAUAUGUUGAAUUCUUCAAGAUUCUGAAUAUCAUUGAAAAACAAGUGUACAAAUUAGAAUUAUCAUCUUUAUAUAAAAGCAUUCAUUCUGUAUUCCAUGUAUUUUUAUUAAAGUCAUACAAUCAUA